AAAUAAUUGACGUGACUCACGGUCACAAAACUGCAGCAGUCGGCGAGUUAACUUAACCUGUAAGCCGAACUAAUCUGUACAUAUGUAUACGUAGACCGCGUAUAGAUAUACACGUGACGUUCACAGGGGUAUGUAUAAGUAGGAUGCAAUUUUCCUUAGCAAUUGAUUCAGCAACCUCAAACUUGCGGUGCACUUGAUAUCGACAGACAGCCUGGCGGGACCUACGAGGCGAUUACAACUUUGCAGAAAGAUAUGCGGCAGAAAGUUGUUACAAUUUAUUCCUCGUGGAUAAUCUUAAUUUAACAAAAUGGCGGGGAAUCAAUGCCAGUCGCCUGAAAAAUGUUUGUGAAUCACCAAUGAAAAAGUUGGUAUUUUCGGAAGCUCUGUUGGAUACAUUUACUAUUUAUUGUUAUUUGUUGCUCGAAUUGCAACAAGAUUUUGGUAAAACUAUUUCUUCGGUAUUGGGGAAUGUUCUGAGAAACUUUUAAGUAAUCUUUCAUUCUUUUUCGGUAUACCUACAAAGCACAUCACGUGAGCCGAGCCCCUUUUUUCUCGGUUUCUUUCCCCUGGAGGACGAGAGACGUUAAUCUUUUCCCCCAUGAGGAUUCCCUUGCACUUUAUUUCCUUUAUAUAUCUGCCGGACUUAAGGUGCGCGAGGCUUUUGUGCGAAAGGCUUAAAGCUACUUGAUCGUGAAUAACGUCAGCCGAAUACUCGUACUCUCCCUUUUGCUCGAAGGAUUUUUCUCUUUUUCACUUUUACAUCUAUCCGGCUAUUGUCUCGCGUAAUCUUCACCGCGUAUAUUUUCGAUCGUGAAAAAUAGAAACCGAACGAAACGAGACUCCGCGAAUAGAAAACACAUUGCUGC
Molecule: unclassified non-coding RNA, 866 nt
Filed under: Athalia rosae (coleseed sawfly)
Lineage: Eukaryota; Metazoa; Arthropoda; Insecta; Hymenoptera; Athaliidae
Description: misc RNA ENSAEAG00005012840.1
Source: RNAcentral